UAUGUAGGGGGCAAGCGUUGUCCGGAUUUAUUGGGCGUAAAGAGCGCGUAGGCGGUUAGGUAAGUCCGUUGUGAAAACUCGAGGCUCAACCUCGAGACGCCGAUGGAAACCAUCUGACUAGAGUCCGGAAGAGGAGAGUGGAAUUCCUGGUGUAGCGGUGAAAUGCGCAGAUAUCAGGAAGAACAGCCGUGGCGAAGGCGGCUCUCUAGUACGUGACUGACGCUGAGACGCGAAAGCGUGGGGAGCAAACAGG
Molecule: ribosomal RNA, 253 nt
Filed under: uncultured bacterium
Lineage: Bacteria
Description: partial 16S ribosomal RNA
Rfam family: Bacterial small subunit ribosomal RNA
Source: RNAcentral